CCAAGCCCCAAUAUAACUGCUGUCUGAGCUGUUUUCUCUGAAGAGUCAUAUAAGAAAUAGUUGCAUUGCUGGAGGAAAGACCAUGACAACUGGGAACCAAAGCCAAAGACUCAGUAUGAUAACUCUGACAGUGUUAGGACUCGUCUGCUUAGCUCUACUCCCCACCACAGAUUCAAAGUCUCUCUGCCCAGCACAAUUGCAUGUUUUGGAAUUGUUUUUAACUGGGAAUAAAGAGAACUUCAUUAAUGCAGUAAGGAAUUUUGCCUCAGAUAAUGAAACAAUAGACACUGCGAGGAAAUUCAAAAGCUGUGUGGACUCGACUCUGAAGCCUCAAGAUCAAAAUGUGACUUUUGGUUUUGUGGAGUACCUCUCUGAAGAUGUAUGCUGAAAAACUUUAUAAGCCAAGCUGAUGGACCACCAUGCAAGACCUCUGUGCUCCUUAAACCAUGCUUGUUGACCAUCAUCCAGACUUGCUGACUUUCUUUCACUGAUCCCAGCUUGGGCUCCUGACCAGGCCAUCAUGAUUCUACUACUUUGUGCUGUAGGGAACCCUUUGCCUCUACCCUAAUCAGGUCAUUCCCAGGGACCAGAAUCUUAUGAUAUAUUAAAUUCCAUGCAAUUCAGGACUCAGUGU
RNAcentral lists this long non-coding RNA (634 nucleotides) under Phascolarctos cinereus (koala). RNAcentral describes it as "lncRNA (ENSPCIG00000025636.2)". The record is from RNAcentral. Lineage: Eukaryota; Metazoa; Chordata; Mammalia; Diprotodontia; Phascolarctidae.